Molecule: ribosomal RNA, 493 nt
Filed under: Cryptosporidium scrofarum
Lineage: Eukaryota; Apicomplexa; Conoidasida; Eucoccidiorida; Cryptosporidiidae
Description: SSU rRNA
Source: RNAcentral
AUUGGAGGGCAAGUCUGGUGCCAGCAGCCGCGGUAAUUCCAGCUCCAAUAGCGUAUAUUAAAGUUGUUGCAGUUAAAAAGCUCGUAGUUGAUUUUCUGUUAAUUUUUAUGURUAAUAUUGCGAUAUUUACAUAAUAUUAACAUAAUUCACAUUACUUUACRGUAUGUGGAAUUUUACUUUGAGAAAAUUAGAGUGCUUAAAGCAGGCUAUUGCCUUGAAUACUCCAGCAUGGAAUAAUAUUAAGGAUUUUUAUUCUUCUUAUUGGUUCUAGAAUAAAAAUAAUGAUUAAUAGGAACAGUUGGGGGCAUUUGUAUUUAACAGUUAGAGGUGAAAUUCUUAGAUUUGUUAAAGACAAACUACUGCGAAAGCAUUUGCCAAGGAUGUUUUCAUUAAUCAAGAACGAAAGUUAGGGGAUCGAAGACGAUCAGAUACCGUCGUAGUCUUAACCAUAAACUAUGCCAACUAGAGAUUGGAGGUUGUUCCUUACUCCUUC